RNAcentral lists this ribosomal RNA (406 nucleotides) under uncultured bacterium. Its description in RNAcentral is "partial 16S ribosomal RNA". It matches the Rfam family "Bacterial small subunit ribosomal RNA", at positions 29 to 526 of the family's 1533-position model. The record is from RNAcentral.
AUUGAACGCUGGCGGCAGGCCUAACACAUGCAAGUCGAACGAGUGGCGGACGGGUGAGUAAUGUCUGGGAAACUGCCCGAUGGAGGGGGAUAACUACUGGAAACGGUAGCUAAUACCGCAUACCAUCGGAUGUGCCCAGAUGGGAUUAGCUAGUAGGUGGGGUAAUGGCUCACCUAGGCGACGAUCCCUAGCUGGUCUGAGAGGAUGACCAGCCACACGGGACCUGAGACACGGUCCAGACUCCUGCGGGAGGCAGCAGUGGGGAAUAUUGCGCAAUGGGCGCAAGCCGGAUGGAGCCAUGCCGCGUGGAUGAAGAAGGCCUUCGGGUUGUAAAGUACGGUCAGCGGGGAGGCGUUACCCGCAGAAGAAGCACCGGCUAACUCCGUGCCAGCAGCCGCGGUAAUAC